GUCUGGAUAGCUCAGCUGGAUGAGCAAUAGGCUUUUAAGCUGAAGGUCCAGGACUCAAGCCCCUGUUCAGGUG
This 73-nucleotide transfer RNA is filed under the name Nipponia nippon (crested ibis). It matches the Rfam family "tRNA". Rfam says of the family: Transfer RNA (tRNA) molecules are approximately 80 nucleotides in length. Their secondary structure includes four short double-helical elements and three loops (D, anti-codon, and T loops). Further hydrogen bonds mediate the characteristic L-shaped molecular structure. tRNAs have two regions of fundamental functional importance: the anti-codon, which is responsible for specific mRNA codon recognition, and the 3' end, to which the tRNAs corresponding amino acid is attached (by aminoacyl-tRNA synthetases). tRNAs cope with the degeneracy of the genetic code in two manners: having more than one tRNA (with a specific anti-codon) for a particular amino acid; and 'wobble' base-pairing, i.e. permitting non-standard base-pairing at the 3rd anti-codon position. Lineage: Eukaryota; Metazoa; Chordata; Aves; Pelecaniformes; Threskiornithidae. The record is from Rfam by way of RNAcentral.